Molecule: ribosomal RNA, 114 nt
Filed under: Acanthosepion pharaonis
Lineage: Eukaryota; Metazoa; Mollusca; Cephalopoda; Sepiida; Sepiidae
Source: RNAcentral
AUACGACCGUAUCACGUUGAAACACCGGUUUCCGUACGAUCACCGAAGUUAAGCAACGUCAAACUUGGUCACUACCUAGAUGGGUAACCGCUUGGGAAUACCAAGUGAUGUAUG